GUUUAGCCCUGAUUGAAGCAUUUGUUUGAGCUCUUUUUAGAGGUACGAUAAAAAAGCGAGUGCGGAAAGCAGGAAAUAGC
RNAcentral lists this unclassified non-coding RNA (80 nucleotides) under Polaribacter sp. KT 15. RNAcentral describes it as "Flavo-1 RNA". The record is from RNAcentral. Lineage: Bacteria; Pseudomonadati; Bacteroidota; Flavobacteriia; Flavobacteriales; Flavobacteriaceae.